CAGUCGAACGGAACUGUUUUGAAAGAUUUCUUCGGAAUGAAUUUGAUUUAGUUUAGUGGCGGACGGGUGAGUAACGCGUGAGUAACCUGCCUUCAAGAGGGGGAUAACAUUCUGAAAAGAAUGCUAAUACCGCAUGACAUAUCGGAAUCACAUGGUUUUGAUAUCAAAGAUUUUAUCGCUUGAAGAUGGACUCGCGUCCGAUUAGUUAGUUGGUGAGGUAACGGCUCACCAAGACCGCGAUCGGUAGCCGGACUGAGAGGUUGAACGGCCACAUUGGGACUGAGACACGGCCCAGACUCCUACGGGAGGCAGCAGUGGGGGAUAUUGCGCAAUGGGGGCAACCCUGACGCAGCAACGCCGCGUGAAGGAUGAAGGUUUUCGGAUUGUAAACUUCUUUUAUUAAGGACGAAACUUGACGGUACUUAAUGAAUAAGCUCCGGCUAACUACGUGCCAGCAGCCGCGGUAAUACGUAGGGAGCAAGCGUUGUCCGGAUUUACUGGGUGUAAAGGGUGCGUAGGCGGCUUUGCAAGUCAGAUGUGAAAUCUAUGGGCUCAACCCAUAAACUGCAUUUGAAACUGUAGAGCUUGAGUGAAGUAGAGGCAGGCGGAAUUCCCCGUGUAGCGGUGAAAUGCGUAGAGAUGGG
RNAcentral lists this ribosomal RNA (644 nucleotides) under uncultured bacterium. RNAcentral describes it as "bacterial SSU rRNA". It matches the Rfam family "Bacterial small subunit ribosomal RNA", at positions 59 to 700 of the family's 1533-position model. The record is from RNAcentral.